UACGUAGGUGGCGAGCGUUGUCCGGAUUUACUGGGCGUAAAGAGCGCGCAGGCGGUCAUUCAAGUCGAGUGUGAAAGCCCCCGGCUCAACUGGGGAGGGUCACUCGAUACUGUUUGACUCGAAGGCGGGAGAGGGAAGUGGAAUUCCCGGUGUAGUGGUGAAAUGCGUAGAUAUCGGGAGGAACACCAGUGGCGAAGGCGACUUCCUGGCCCGUUCUUGACGCUGAGGCGCGAAAGCUAGGGGAGCAAACGGG
Molecule: ribosomal RNA, 253 nt
Filed under: uncultured bacterium
Lineage: Bacteria
Description: partial 16S ribosomal RNA
Rfam family: Bacterial small subunit ribosomal RNA
Source: RNAcentral